This 1325-nucleotide long non-coding RNA is filed under the name Felis catus (domestic cat). RNAcentral describes it as "lncRNA (ENSFCAG00000043395.2)". The record is from RNAcentral. Lineage: Eukaryota; Metazoa; Chordata; Mammalia; Carnivora; Felidae.
GCCAGUUCCCAGGUCUGGCUCAUAAAAUCACCUCCCUGGGUUAUUGCUCUUUUUUCUUCAGAUGCUAGUCGGCAGCACCUUGGGAGACUUAGGAAGGUAUAUGGUAAGGAUAGCAGAGUUUCUGUCAGCUUGGGACACUGAAGGACUGCAACCGCAUGGCACAGGAAAACUGUGCUCCUGCGUGGUUUCAAAAUAAGUGAGGAAUAAACUUCUGUGUGUUAAAUAUGGCAUUCUGUUAUUUGGAGGUUAGAAUAAAGCAUUAAUGUAGUCUGUCUUAAAAUCGAUUUUUUCCAAAUGAAGAUGUUUUUUCUUUUUUUUUUAAUUUUUCUUUUCAACGUUUAUUUAUUUUUGGGACAGAGAGAGACAGAGCAUGAACGGGGGCAGAGAGAGAGGGAGACACAGAAUCGGAAACAGGCUCCAGACUCUGAGCCAUCAGCCCAGAGCCUGACGCGGGGCUUGAACUCACGGACCGCGAGAUCGUGACCUGGCUGAAGUCGGACGCUUAACCGACUGCGCCACCCAGGCGCCCCUGUUUUUUCUUUUAAUACCAACUUAGGGAGAUACUAAUUGGAUGAAGAUGAUGACAAGGUCCUAGAGGAUGGGGAACUACGAGGUGGAAAAGCCUAGUCCCCAAAGUGCCACUUGAAAAAAAGCUGACAGCUGAUGAAGAAUACCUGCUUUAUAUAUUUUCAUCUCCAAGGCCAUGGAACUAAAGAGCAGUUAUUGCGGGGACAAAAUUUUCCAAGAGAAGACUCCAAGAGAGAGCAAGAAGAAAAAUCUUAUAUAUGGAGACUGCCUGUAUGCAGAAAGCUGUAUGAAAGACACUGGGAGAAGAAUGCCUUCAGAAAUAAGUUGAAGCCUCGUCACAUGCAUCCUUUUCACCCAGAAUUAAUGUUGGAUUGUAUAAACAAAGCUCACCUAUUACAUCGGCAGCAGAGCACCCUUUCUCCUUCUGGAAAUGACUACAGUCUCAGCGAGUAGUUGAGCAGUUACCAGCACCCCUGCAUGGCUUUUCCAGGUACUAAUUAAUCUGUUUUGGAAGGUAACAGCAGAAAGGUCCCAGGGGAGUAGGUUGGGAGUCUGUUGCGCUGAGCGAGUGAAAAUCAGAUUGGCUUGUAAAAAUAGAGAACUUUUAAGCCAUAGAACAUCUGUAGAUUGCACAAUAUGUAUUUGUUGUUAAUCUGCCAGUACACAUCUUUCUGACUUUUCCACUGAUAUGUUUCUUCCUUACAUAAUAUUAAAGGAAGGAAGAAUAAUGGUAGAAUUUAAGCACAUUUCUCUCGCUUAAUCUCAAAUUUAGGGUCCAGAAAAAUAUAGGGUACACG